Molecule: ribosomal RNA, 440 nt
Filed under: uncultured bacterium
Lineage: Bacteria
Description: partial 16S ribosomal RNA
Rfam family: Bacterial small subunit ribosomal RNA
Source: RNAcentral
CCUACGGGAGGCAGCAGUAGGGAAUAUUGCUCAAUGGGGGCAACCCUGAAGCAGCAACGCCGCGUGGAGGAUGAAGGUUUUCGGAUUGUAAACUCCUUUUGUUAGAGAAGAUAAUGACGGUAUCUAACGAAUAAGCACCGGCUAACUCCGUGCCAGCAGCCGCGGUAAUACGGAGGGUGCAAGCGUUACUCGGAAUCACUGGGCGUAAAGGGCGCGUAGGCGGGAUAGCAAGUCAGAUGUGAAAUCCUAUGGCUUAACCAUAGAACUGCAUUUGAAACUGGUAUUCUAGAGUAUUGGAGAGGUAGGUGGAAUUCUUGGUGUAGGGGUAAAAUCCGUAGAGAUCAAGAGGAAUACUCAUUGCGAAGGCGACCUGCUAGAACAUAACUGACGCUGAGGCGCGAAAGCGUGGGGAGCAAACAGGAUUAGAUACCCUAGUAGUC